Molecule: ribosomal RNA, 396 nt
Filed under: uncultured bacterium
Lineage: Bacteria
Description: bacterial SSU rRNA
Rfam family: Bacterial small subunit ribosomal RNA
Source: RNAcentral
AUUGAACGCUGGCGGCAUGCCUUACACAUGCAAGUCGAGCGCGAAAGGGGGCAACCCCGAGUAGAGCGGCGGACGGGUGAGUAACACAUCGGAACGUGCCCAGUAGUGGGGGACAACCUCGAGAAAUCGAGGCUAAUACCGCAUACGACCCACGGGUGAAAGCGGGGGACCCAAAGGAAACUGAGGGCCUCGCGCUAUUGGAGCGGCCGAUGUCCGAUUAGCUAGUUGGCGGGGUAAGAGCCCACCAAGGCGACGAUCGGUAGCUGGUCUGAGAGGACGACCAGCCACACUGGGACUGAGACACGGCCCAGACUCCUACGGGAGGCAGCAGUGGGGAAUUUUGGACAAUGGGGGCAACCCUGAUCCAGCCAUGCCGCGUGCGGGAAGAAGGCCUUC